This is a long non-coding RNA of Prionailurus viverrinus (fishing cat), 348 nucleotides long. RefSeq lists it as uncharacterized. The transcript is spliced from 3 exons. The record is from RefSeq and is a predicted model, not a curated record. Lineage: Eukaryota; Metazoa; Chordata; Mammalia; Carnivora; Felidae.
CACUUUCUCCGGAAGCUUGCCUGCCUUCCUGGAACAAACUGCCUUGUGGACUCUCUCUUCCUCUGCAGUGUGUUCUUCCCCAGAGGCACGUUGGUCUGUCAUAUGAAUAUGCCUUCAGAAAGUGCCUAGACGUUCCUGAAUUUGCGGGUGACAAAUUUCCUGGACAUGCAAAAAUUCUGGCUGCUUAAAGCAUUCUUGGCAUACACUGCCGGAGAACAGCAUCAUCACCCUGCCAGCAGUUAGAAUUGAGGCACUCGAGAUAUACAAGAAUUUCUGAGUAGCUGCCGGUCUGUGAAUACAGCUUUGAGUUCAAUUGCCACAUCGGCGGGAGGGUCUUCAGAGUCACCA